GUAGGGAAUAUUGCACAAUGGGCGAAAGCCUGAUGCAGCAACGCCGCGUGCGCGAUGAAGGCCUUCGGGUCGUAAAGCGCUUUUUGGGGAGAUGAGGAAGGACAGUAUCCCCAGAAUAAGGUUCGGCUAACUACGUGCCAGCAGCCGCGGUAAAACGUAGGAACCGAGCGUUAUCCGAAUUUACUGGGCGUAAAGCGCGUGUAGGCGGUUCGGUAAGUUGGAUGUGAAAUCUCCCGGCUCAACUGGGAGAGGUCGUUCAAUACUGUCGAACUCGAGGGUGGUAGAGGGAGGUGGAAUUCCCGGUGUAGUGGUGAAAUGCGUAGAUAUCGGGAGGAACACCAGUGGCGAAAGCGGCCUCCUGGACCAUUCCUGACGCUCAGACGCGAAAGCUAGGGGAGCAAACGGGAUUAGAAACCCGAGUAGUCC
This 426-nucleotide ribosomal RNA is filed under the name uncultured bacterium. RNAcentral's name for it is "bacterial SSU rRNA". It matches the Rfam family "Bacterial small subunit ribosomal RNA", at positions 354 to 796 of the family's 1533-position model. The record is from RNAcentral.